AUGCCUAUUCGAGCGUCAUUACAACCCUCACGCCCCGCGUGGUCUUGGGCCGAGCCCCCCGGGCUGGCCUCAAAAGCAGUGGCGGUGCCUCUGGGUCCUGAGCGUAGUAACACUUCCGCUACAGGGCUCCCGAGCGCGCUGGCCGAACCCCAACUCUUCAGGUUGACCUCGGAUUAGGUAGGGAUACCCGCUGAACUUAA
Molecule: unclassified non-coding RNA, 200 nt
Filed under: soil metagenome
Description: partial contains internal transcribed spacer 2 and large subunit ribosomal RNA
Source: RNAcentral